Molecule: non-coding RNA, 84 nt
Organism: Acanthosepion pharaonis
Lineage: Eukaryota; Metazoa; Mollusca; Cephalopoda; Sepiida; Sepiidae
Source: the annotation of a GenBank genome assembly
UUGAAACACCGGUUCCCGUUCGAUCACCGAAGUUAAGCAACAUCCAGUACCUAGAUGGGUGACUGCUUGGGAAUACCAGGUGAU